AGGUUAGGGAUAGUGUCGUUUUCUGGGUAAAGGAUUAGUCUUCAGUAAUCCCCGUUUCAAAGUUGAAAGGAUUAAGGUUGUACUAGCAAUUUUAAUCUAAUCAUCCUUUAAUUUUGUUGGGGUUUGUAGUGGUUGACUUGGACUAGGCUAACCUUUUCUUUUUCUAAUAAACUCAGAUUGGACUGUGCCCAACCUCUCUCUCUCUCUCUCUCUCUCUCUGUUUAUCUGUCUAAAUCUAUAUCUAAUAGACUCAGGAUUGGAGAUAAUGAUGGUUACUCUUUAAUCCCUUUCUAUUUUUUAUAACUUAGCCUAUAGAUUUUCAUUUGUGUGAUACAACACUUAUCAUGAACCAAUUUCC
Molecule: long non-coding RNA, 358 nt
Filed under: Elaeis guineensis (African oil palm)
Lineage: Eukaryota; Viridiplantae; Streptophyta; Magnoliopsida; Arecales; Arecaceae
Description: long non-coding RNA (EGUI_LNC003379)
Source: RNAcentral